Mycena filopes is the source of this 136-nucleotide non-coding RNA. Lineage: Eukaryota; Fungi; Basidiomycota; Agaricomycetes; Agaricales; Mycenaceae. The record is from the annotation of a GenBank genome assembly.
GGUCAGAUGGCCGAGCGGUCUAAGGCGCCAGACUAAGGAUCCACAUCGUUUCAGAUGUUCAACUUACAGAGUGAGAUUCCAAUCCACCCUUGUAAUCUGGUCCUCCGGGGCGUGGGUUCGAAUCCCACUCUGAUCA